Molecule: unclassified non-coding RNA, 229 nt
Filed under: plant metagenome
Description: partial contains small subunit ribosomal RNA, internal transcribed spacer 1, and 5.8S ribosomal RNA
Source: RNAcentral
UCUCCGUAGGUGAACCUGCGGAGGGAUCAUUACAGAGUUCAUGCCCUAACGGGUAGAUCUCCCACCCUAUGUUAUUCUUACUUUGUUGCUUUGGCGGGCCGUUAGGCUCACGCCUGGCCACCGGCUCCGGCUGGUGAGUGCCCGCCAGAGGACCCAAAACCCUUUUUAUUAGUGUCGUCUGAGUACUAUAUAAUAGUUAAAACUUUCAACAACGGAUCUCUUGGUUCUG